UAUAGAGGUCUCAAGCGUUGUUCGGAUUCAUUGGGCGUAAAGGGUGCGUAGGUGGCGUGGUAAGUCGGGUGUGAAAUUUCGGAGCUUAACUCCGAAACUGCAUUCGAUACUGCUGUGCUUGAGGACUGGAGAGGAGACUGGAAUUUACGGUGUAGCAGUGAAAUGCGUAGAGAUCGUAAGGAAGACCAGUGGCGAAGGCGGGUCUCUGGACAGUUCCUGACACUGAGGCACGAAGGCCAGGGGAGCAAACGGG
This 253-nucleotide ribosomal RNA is filed under the name uncultured bacterium. RNAcentral's name for it is "partial 16S ribosomal RNA". It matches the Rfam family "Bacterial small subunit ribosomal RNA", at positions 524 to 776 of the family's 1533-position model. The record is from RNAcentral.